RNAcentral lists this ribosomal RNA (506 nucleotides) under uncultured bacterium. RNAcentral describes it as "partial 16S ribosomal RNA". It matches the Rfam family "Bacterial small subunit ribosomal RNA", at positions 29 to 523 of the family's 1533-position model. The record is from RNAcentral.
AGUGAACGCUGGCGGUAGGCCUAACACAUGCAAGUCGAACGGCAGCACAGGAGAGCUUGCUCUCUGGGUGGCGAGUGGCGGACGGGUGAGGAAUACAUCGGAAUCUACUUUUUCGUGGGGGAUAACGUAGGGAAACUUUCGCUAAUACCGCAUACGACCUACGGGUGAAAGCAGGGGACCUUCGGGCCUUGCGCGAUUGAAUGAGCCGAUGUCGGAUUAGCUAGUUGGCGGGGUAAAGGCCCACCAAGGCGACGAUCCGUAGCUGGUCUGAGAGGAUGAUCAGCCACACUGGAACUGAGACACGGUCCAGACUCCUACGGGAGGCAGCAGUGGGGAAUAUUGGACAAUGGGCGCAAGCCUGAUCCAGCCAUACCGCGUGGGUGAAGAAGGCCUUCGGGUUGUAAAGCCCUUUUGUUGGGAAAGAAAUCCAUCUGGUUAAUACCCGGGUGGGAUGACGGUACCCAAAGAAUAAGCACCGGCUAACUUCGUGCCAGCAGCCGCCGUAA